CUAUGUUUCUUCUUUUUUAACAAGGGGAAGGCCCAUCCGUGUGUAGUGUCGUUUCAUUCAACGUCAGUGGAGUACAAAAUGCAAACAUCACCCCGAAAAAAAACUAAAGUUACAAAGUAGUCCUGGAAAUUAACACAAAGCACCCUAACAAGUAAGACCAAAAAGCAAUCGGGUCCUUCUUCUCCACUCCGUUGCUCUGCCCGCCCCGCCGUCCAACCGACGCUCGCCUCGCCGCUGUGUCGUUCUGCUUGCUGCGCCGCCGCCCGGCCCUGCUCAGCCGCGCAACUCCGGCCCAGCCGCGCUCAGGAGCUGACUCGCUCCGACGCCGCGGGGAGGCACGCUAGGGAGGUCGGGGAUGGCCGGUGCUCGACCGGUGAAGCGCCCGGCUGCUCUAGCGGCGGAGCUCGCGAGGCAGAGAGGAGGAGCUCGGGGUGUGGACGGGAUCGGGGGCGCGACCGGAGGAUCUCGAGUGCGCAUGGCCGGCCGGUGAGGACGAGCUCGCGAGGGGUGGAGCUUCACGUGGCGCUGGCGAGGUGGCGGACGGAUGGGCAGAAGGGCGCUGGGCGUGGCGGCGGACAGACGGCCUCGCGGGCGCUGGGCGUGGCGGCGGACGGACGGCCUCGCGGGAGCUGGGCACGGCAUGCUGCUGCUCGGGGAUGGGCGGGCGCCGGACGGGGGCGCCGGACGGGCGGGCGGAGUUGGCCGGCGGCGUGUGGUUGCUUAGGGGAGAUGGAGGGAUGAGGGCGCUGGCUGGAGGUGUGCUAGUGCUCUGGGAGAUGGAGAGAUGAGGCAGCACGGGGGAGAAGAUGGGAAUCGUGGGUGGGGCAGGUACGGGGGUGGCCUCGUGGGUGG
Molecule: ribosomal RNA, 852 nt
Filed under: Triticum aestivum (bread wheat)
Lineage: Eukaryota; Viridiplantae; Streptophyta; Magnoliopsida; Poales; Poaceae
Description: partial small subunit ribosomal RNA
Source: RNAcentral